AUCUGCAUUUCGACCAAGUUCCUAGGUGAAGCUGAUCCUGCUGGUCUGGAGACCACCUUGGGGGAAGCACCUGUUCUGGUUCUAGCUCAGUGCUUCUGACCUUAAUCUGCAAGUGACCUGAGGAUCUUGAGAUUAUGAUUUGGUAGGACUGAAAUGGAGCCGAUGAACGUGCAGUUUUGAUAAGCUUCCGGUGGAUGCCACUGACACCGUUGGUCCCCAGACCAACAUACUUCGGAGGAAGGGUGGUGAGUCUUCAGAGACUACUGGUAGAAACCAACAUUUUUCUCACUUCUUCUUGGGUCUGAAAUCAGAGACUCAUGCUUCAGUUUCUGAAAAUUAGAUGCAUGAAAAUAUAUCUACGAGGGGAGUUUUGCUGAUUUCUUUCAUCCUUCUUCCUCCCCAGGAUUGGUCUGGCGCUCGUGGAAAGCUGAGCAGACACAGUGUCCCACACAGAUGUGGCUGGUGCCUGAGCUGGAGCACCGAAUGCCGGCACUGGCUGGGCACGUUUACAAACGGAGUGAGUAAAUCUCAAAUGUUUCUGGGCUCAGAGGAAGCUCAUUCUCACAGGACCAGCCAUACUAUGAGAUAAGCCCUUCACAACCCUAUCCCCGAAUCAGCGAUGAGGCACUGGGAGAGGCUUCUCUCAAGAAGAAUUCUCAAGGGCCAGAAUGAAUGGGCAGUAGGUGAAAUGACCAGACGUUCGGUUGCUGAAGGCACAGGUUAAGUAGAGGUAUCUACAGCCACAGGUGACCGGAAUAACCCCUGCCUCCUUCCUAUAAGCCCCUGAAAAAAAAGUGUGACAUUUCACUUGAAA
Molecule: long non-coding RNA, 814 nt
Organism: Herpailurus yagouaroundi (jaguarundi)
Lineage: Eukaryota; Metazoa; Chordata; Mammalia; Carnivora; Felidae
Exons: 2
Source: RefSeq, a predicted model, not a curated record